GAUGAACGCUGGCGGCGUGCCUAAUACAUGCAAGUCGAGCGAACGGACGAGAAGCUUGCUUUUCUGAUGUUAGCGGCGGACGGGUGAGUAACACGUGGAUAACCUACCUAUAAGACUGGGAUAACUUCGGGAAACCGGAGCUAAUACCGGAUAAUAUUUUGAACCGCAUGGUUCAAAAGUGAAAGACGGUCUUGCUGUCACUUAUAGAUGGAUCCGCGCUGCAUUAGCUAGUUGGUAAGGUAACGGCUUACCAGGGCAACGAUGCAUAGCCGACCUGAGAGGGGGAUCGGCCACACGGGAACUGAGACACGGUCCAGACUCCUACGGGAGGCAGCAGUAGGGAAUCUUCCGCAAUGGGCGAAAGCCUGACGGAGCAACGCCGCGUGAGUGAUGAAGGUCUUCGGAUCGUAAAACUCUGUUAUUAGGGAAGAACAUAUGUGUAAGGAACUGUGCACAUCUUGACGGUACCUAAUCAGAAAGCCACGGCUAACUACGUG
RNAcentral lists this ribosomal RNA (497 nucleotides) under uncultured bacterium. RNAcentral describes it as "partial 16S ribosomal RNA". It matches the Rfam family "Bacterial small subunit ribosomal RNA", at positions 28 to 507 of the family's 1533-position model. The record is from RNAcentral.